AUUGAACGCUGGCGGCAUGCCUUACACAUGCAAGUCGAACGGUAACGGGCCUUCGGGUGCCGACGAGUGGCGAACGGGUGCGUAAUACAUCGGAACGUGCCCGAUCGUGGGGGAUAACGAGGCGAAAGCUUUGCUAAUACCGCAUACGAUCUACGGAUGAAAGCAGGGGACCGCAAGGCCUUGCGCGGACGGAGCGGCCGAUGGCAGAUUAGGUAGUUGGUGGGAUAAAAGCUUACCAAGCCGACGAUCUGUAGCUGGUCUGAGAGGAUGAUCAGCCACACUGGGACUGAGACACGGCCCAGACUCCUACGGGAGGCAGCAGUGGGGAAUUUUGGACAAUGGGCGCAAGCCUGAUCCAGCCAUGCCGCGUGCAGGAUGAAGGCCUUCGGGUUGUAAACUGCUUUUGUACGGAACGAAAAGCCUUCUUUUAAUACAGGAGGGUCAUGACGGUACCGUAAGAAUAAGCACCAGCUAACUACGUG
This 482-nucleotide ribosomal RNA is filed under the name uncultured bacterium. RNAcentral describes it as "partial 16S ribosomal RNA". It matches the Rfam family "Bacterial small subunit ribosomal RNA", at positions 30 to 507 of the family's 1533-position model. The record is from RNAcentral.